RNAcentral lists this transfer RNA (72 nucleotides) under Ovis aries (sheep). It matches the Rfam family "tRNA". From Rfam's summary of the family: Transfer RNA (tRNA) molecules are approximately 80 nucleotides in length. Their secondary structure includes four short double-helical elements and three loops (D, anti-codon, and T loops). Further hydrogen bonds mediate the characteristic L-shaped molecular structure. tRNAs have two regions of fundamental functional importance: the anti-codon, which is responsible for specific mRNA codon recognition, and the 3' end, to which the tRNAs corresponding amino acid is attached (by aminoacyl-tRNA synthetases). tRNAs cope with the degeneracy of the genetic code in two manners: having more than one tRNA (with a specific anti-codon) for a particular amino acid; and 'wobble' base-pairing, i.e. permitting non-standard base-pairing at the 3rd anti-codon position. The record is from Rfam by way of RNAcentral. Lineage: Eukaryota; Metazoa; Chordata; Mammalia; Artiodactyla; Bovidae.
UCCCUGAUGGCUCAGACGGUAAAGAAUCUGCCUGCAACGCAGAACACCUGGGUUCAAUCCCUGGGUCGGGAA